GAAAUGCGAUAAGUAAUGUGAAUUGCAGAAUUCAGUGAAUCAUCGAAUCUUUGAACGCACCUUGCGCUCCUUGGUAUUCCUUGGAGCAUGCCUGUUUGAGUAUCAUGAAAUCUUCAAAGUAAAUCUUUUGUUAACUCAAUUGGUUUCUACUUUGGUAUUGGAGGUCUUUGCAGCUUCACACCUGCUCCUCUUUGUUCAUUAGCUGGAUCUCAGUGUUAUGCUUGGUUCCACUCGGCGUGAUAAGUUAUCUAUCGCUGAGGACACUGUAAAAGGUGGCCAACGUAAAUGCAGAUGAACCGCUUCUAAUAGUCCAUUGACUUGGACAAUACUUUUAUGAUCUGAUCUCAAAUCAGGUAGGACUACCCGCUGAACUUAAGC
This 378-nucleotide unclassified non-coding RNA is filed under the name plant metagenome. RNAcentral describes it as "partial contains 5.8S ribosomal RNA, internal transcribed spacer 2, and large subunit ribosomal RNA". The stretch from base 1 to 105 matches the Rfam family "5.8S ribosomal RNA", at positions 50 to 154 of the family's 154-position model. The record is from RNAcentral.